UGAGUAACGCGUGGGUAACCUGCCUCAUACGAGGGGAUAACAGUUAGAAAUGACUGCUAAUACCGCAUAAGCGCACAGUGCUGCAUGGCACAGUGUGAAAAACUCCGGUGGUAUGAGAUGGACCCGCGUCUGAUUAGCUAGUUGGUGGGGUAACGGCCUACCAAGGCGACGAUCAGUAGCCGGCCUGAGAGGGUGGACGGCCACAUUGGGACUGAGACACGGCCCAAACUCCUACGGGAGGCAGCAUG
RNAcentral lists this ribosomal RNA (248 nucleotides) under uncultured bacterium. RNAcentral's name for it is "partial 16S ribosomal RNA". It matches the Rfam family "Bacterial small subunit ribosomal RNA", at positions 107 to 353 of the family's 1533-position model. The record is from RNAcentral.